Molecule: long non-coding RNA, 444 nt
Filed under: Physcomitrium patens
Lineage: Eukaryota; Viridiplantae; Streptophyta; Bryopsida; Funariales; Funariaceae
Description: long non-coding RNA (PPAT_LNC008568)
Source: RNAcentral
UUUGAUUAGGAUUUGAUUAAGGUUUGAUCUAGAUUUAAUUGAAAUUUAUCUUGAAGUUUGAUUAAGAUUUUAGUAGUAUUUUAUUAGGAUUAGUCUAGGAUUUAGGAUUUGAUUAGAAUUUGAUUAAGAUUUAAUUAGGAUUUGACCUAAAAUUUGAUUAAGAUUCAUUAAGAUUUCAAUUAAGAUUCUAAUUAAGAUUUGACCUAAGUUUUGUUUAAGAUUCAAUAGGAUUUUAAUUAAGAUUUUAAUUAUAAUUUUAAUUAAGAUUUGAUGUAGGAUUUAUUUAGGAUUUAAUUAAAAUUUUUAUUUUAAAUAUUUUGAAAGGAUUUUUUAUUAUUUAUUAAUUUUUUAUUCUAAUAUUUCUUUAAAAUUAUUAUUAUUUAUAUACAGGUUUAUUUUUAUAUUUAUUUGAAAUUUCUUUAUUAUUUUUAAAAAAAAUUAAUU